CUCCCCUCAUUUCUUCGAAAAAUCAAACAACAUUAUCCCACCGCCGCAAAGCCUCCGACGACCUGAAAGCUUCACAUUUUUCCAAGGCUCCGUCGAGUCUCCGGCUACAGGAAAGCGUCACAUUGUCCGGUUCACCUUUUUCGCCGCUUGAUUUCCCCAUUUAUCUCCCAAAUUCCCCUAUUCGCUCGCCGAUUCCCGACAUUUUGACCUUUGCCACCCGAUUAUCCCUCUUCGUUAUCUCAUUCCCCCUCUUCAAAUAUGGCUUCUCCCGGCGCCACCACAACUGACGGCAUGUGUGGGUUCUCUUUGUUGGUCGAGAGGAAGAAGAAAAUCUUUGAGGAUAAAGAAGAUUCAUUGGAUAGAUUUCAAUUGAAAUUUCGAUCAGCAGAUCGGACUGAGGGCGCCUAUAGUAGGAAACCAUGGUGCACAGUUUUGUUCUUCUUCUUUAAUAUUGUAACUAUCUCUGUCUAUAAGUUGGAGAAAUGAAAAAUUGGAUGGUCUUAUGCUUUGGCAAUUUUUUCAAUAUAGUUCCUUCCACAAGUUCAUUUCAUGCCUUGAUGUGAUAAUCAAAAUCUGAUAUCAUAAAUUUUGAUAAAUUGAGAGCGCUUAAUUAUGUGUUUGAAUAAUUCAUGAUAAUUUCCACUGCAGAGUUAGAAGGCAAAUUGUAAAUGUGUGCCUUCAUUUCUAGUGACAGUUGAUUUCCAGAAGCACAUUGAUUUCUCUCUCACAAGUCUAUUUGCUGAUGGAGAUGAGGAAUGUAGUUGUGAUAAUUCUGCUAGCUAAGAAUUACAGUACAUUGGAUUUGAAAGCCAUAGGAACCAAGUCUGUACUUGAGUGAUUUUAUGGAUCUGAACCAUCCCAAAUCAUUGGCAUUGGUAUCCAAAGAAUUAGGGGGUUCCUAAGCCAAUCGGAUGUUGAAACCUGAUUGUGAUGCAGCAACACUGAAUUCUAAAUCUGUGUCCAAGAUAAUAGUCUGUCAGACAACUGCCUAGCCAUCCUGACUGGACCGAAGUUGAGCCAAGAACGAUCAUCUACUGCACAACGAGCCGGAAACCCGGACCCAAGGGGCUGUUAAUCACGCUCUAGCCAGGCAGCUAGGUUCAUCCGCCAGACGUGGUUUCCUGUCUCCUUAGAAAUCAAUGAUACAGAGGUACGAGCCUAUAGAACAGAUCCUGUUCAAGUAAGGUCGUAAAUCUGUGUCCAAGAUAUGUGGUCUUGCAUUGUCCUAUUGUAUAAAUAUGUCUUUGGAUGCACCUUCUGGCCAUUCAGAUAUAAUUGCUGGAAUUAUUUGCAUGCAUAUAGUAAUAGCAUUAAGAAAAUGCAUAUAUUCAAAUAGUCAAGCAUACUUUACCUACCAUUUUCCCAUUUGAUUACCUUAUUAAUCAAACAAUCCUUGAUCACCUCUUUGUUGAUGCUUUGAAAGGCUUUAGUUUUUAUUGUGCAUGCAUCUCUACUCUGGCUCCUCUUUUUUGCUGGUACUUGAACAUUGAAGGGAAAUAUCCCAAUUUUUCCACCAAACAACUCCUCACCAUUAUCAGCAAAUAAGGGACUUGCCACAACACACAUAAACAUGAUUUUUUGAAUGAAAUCCUUAUUUUGACAAGUUCUGUGUGGCUCAUCUUCUCCAGGUGCUAAAUAAAAUCUGCGUGAUGCUUGGGAUAUGUAAAACCAGUUCUCAUAAAUGUAUAUAGUGUUGUUCAUAUUCCUAAACUUGAUUUGGUUGCAUAAAGUUCUAAAGCAUCUAAUGUGAAUCUUAACCUUUGAAGCUUAUGUGGGGCAGUUAAAUCCGGCCUAAUUGUUGAUGUGUGUGCUCUGAUUAGUCCGGCAUUAACCCAUCUCUCUACGGUUGUCUUGCUGCACUUCAAACCCACUGCCAAUGAUCUGAUUAUACCUUGUUUUGUGUAAUGUAGAGUAGAAAGCAAAACUAAAUCAAGAGUAACACGUUUGCACCUUGGUUUUGUUAUUUUGCAGAUGAUUAAGUUGAUUGCUUAAUAUGUGGUUAUUUUAAUUAUUUAGACUUGAAAAUUUAAAUAUGUGGUUAAUUUAAUUAUUUUGGCAAUUGUUUGUUUAUUCA
Molecule: long non-coding RNA, 2074 nt
Organism: Salvia splendens (bonfire salvia)
Lineage: Eukaryota; Viridiplantae; Streptophyta; Magnoliopsida; Lamiales; Lamiaceae
Exons: 2
Source: RefSeq, a predicted model, not a curated record